GAUGAACGCUGGCGGCGUGCCUAAUACAUGCAAGUCGAGCGAACGGACGAGGAGCUUGCUUCUCUGAUGUUAGCGGCGGACGGGUGAGUAACACGUGGAUAACCUACCUAUAAGACUGGGAUAACUUCGGGAAACCGGAGCUAAUACCGGAUAAUAUUUUGAACCGCAUGGUUCAAAAGUGAAAGACGGUUUUGCUGUCACUUAUAGAUGGAUCCGCGCUGCAUUAGCUAGUUGGUAAGGUAACGGCUUACCAAGGCAACGAUGCAUAGCCGACCUGAGAGGGUGAUCGGCCACACUGGAACUGAGACACGGUCCAGACUCCUACGGGAGGCAGCAGUAGGGAAUCUUCCGCAAUGGGCGAAAGCCUGACGGAGCAACGCCGCGUGAGUGAUGAAGGUCUUCGGAUCGUAAAACUCUGUUAUUAGGGAAGAACAUAUGUGUAAGUAACUGUGCACAUCUUGACGGUACCUAAUCAGAAAGCCACGGCUAACUACGUG
This 497-nucleotide ribosomal RNA is filed under the name uncultured bacterium. RNAcentral's name for it is "partial 16S ribosomal RNA". It matches the Rfam family "Bacterial small subunit ribosomal RNA", at positions 28 to 507 of the family's 1533-position model. The record is from RNAcentral.